GGGGUUGUGGUGCAGUGGUAGUGCGCUCGCUUUGUACGCGAGAAGUCUUGGAUUCGAUUCCCAGCAUCUUUA
Molecule: non-coding RNA, 72 nt
Organism: Eumeta japonica
Lineage: Eukaryota; Metazoa; Arthropoda; Insecta; Lepidoptera; Psychidae
Source: the annotation of a GenBank genome assembly